Molecule: ribosomal RNA, 840 nt
Filed under: uncultured Bacillota bacterium
Lineage: Bacteria; Bacillati; Bacillota
Description: bacterial SSU rRNA
Rfam family: Bacterial small subunit ribosomal RNA
Source: RNAcentral
GCCCUUAGAGUUUGAUCCUGGCUCAGGAUGAACGCUGGCGGCGUGCCUAACACAUGCAAGUCGAGCGAUCUUCUUCGGAAGAGAGCGGCGGACGGGUGAGUAACGCGUGGGUAACCUGCCUCAUACACAUGGAUAACAUACCGAAAGGUAUGCUAAUACAAGAUGACAUAAGAGAUUCGCAUGGAUUUCUUAUCAAAGCUCCGGCGGUAUGAGAUGGACCCGCGUCUGAUUAGCUAGUUGGUAAGGUAAUGGCUUACCAAGGCUUCGAUCAGUAGCCGACCUGAGAGGGUGAUCGGCCACAUUGGAACUGAGACACGGUCCAAACUCCUACGGGAGGCAGCAGUGGGGAAUAUUGCACAAUGGGCGAAAGCCUGAUGCAGCAACGCCGCGUGAGCGAUGAAGGCCUUCGGGUCGUAAAGCUCUGUCCUCAAGGAAGAUAAUGACGGUACUUGAGGAGGAAGCCCCGGCUAACUACGUGCCAGCAGCCGCGGUAAUACGUAGGGGGCUAGCGUUAUCCGGAUUUACUGGGCGUAAAGGGUGCGUAGGUGGUUUCUUAAGUCAGGAGUGAAAGGCUACGGCUCAACCGUAGUAAGCUCUUGAAACUGGGAAACUUGAGUGCAGGAGAGGAAAGUGGAAUUCCUAGUGUAGCGGUGAAAUGCGUAGAUAUUAGGAGGAACACCAGUAGCGAAGGCGGCUUUCUGGACUGUAACUGACACUGAGGCACGAAAGCGUGGGGAGCAAACAGGAUUAGAUACCCUGGUAGUCCACGCCGUAAACGAUGAGUACUAGGUGUCGGGGGUUACCCCCCUCGGUGCCGCAGCUAACGCAUUAAGUACUCCG